CCCGGGCCGGAAGGGCUCCUGCGCAGGCGUUUGUAGCCACUUUUAAGUUUUAUCAGCUAGUUCAUGCUUGCGUUGAAAGAGUGGUCGUUUACGCUGGGUCAUCACUGUGUAGUAUUGGGGAUACUUAGGUGAGAAAAAAACUUAACGCUAGAGACGUUCACGCACUAGUGGAGAAGCCAGGAUUGUUGCCCUAGAGUUACAGUAGAUAAAAGUACCUGAGAGAACUGCGGGGGCUCCCAACCUGGACGCUUGCACCGGAGUAUUAAAUCCAGCUAGAGAAUGGCAUGUGCAAAGAUACAGAGCUUUUAGAAGUUGCCUGCAUUCCUUGGCCCCUUCCUCACAUCAUUCCAACCAACUUCCAUCCUUACAAUCGAUUACUUUCCUGUAAUAGCCACAGUCAGAUGGGCAGCUGAAGGUGAUGAUGAUGAUCUUGACACCGAGAAGCAGAAGACCAAUGAAGAUGACCAGACAGCAAAAAAGGAUAAGUUAAAAGAAGGUAAAAGAAGGCCACUCGUACUUGCUGUCUCAGUAUCUAAAGGUGGUCACCUUCCAGUAGAGAGGCCCACCCACUGCAGACAGUGCCACCGAAGGUGACAUGCACUUUCUGCCACCCAUCCAAAACUGUAACGUGAAUCUGCAACAGGAGAGGAAAGAAGAACCAAAACUUCCAAGGCCUUGCAUUUUUUCUUAAAAGCAUUUUUUUUUUUUUUUUUUGGAGAUGGAGUCUCACUCUAUUGCCUGGAGUGCAGUGGCGUAAUUUCGGCUCACUGAAGCCUCUGCUUCCCGGGUUUAAGAAAUUCUCUGCCUCAGCCUCCCAAGUAGCUGGGAUUACAGGCACAUGCCACCACACCUGUCU
This 856-nucleotide non-coding RNA is filed under the name Pan troglodytes (chimpanzee). The record is from RNAcentral. Lineage: Eukaryota; Metazoa; Chordata; Mammalia; Primates; Hominidae.